AGGGUUUGAUCCUGGCUCAGAUUGAACGCUGGCGGCAGGCUUAACACAUGCAAGUCGAGCGGAAACGAUGAUAGCUUGCUAUCAGGCGUCGAGCGGCGGACGGGUGAGUAAUACUUAGGAAUCUACCUAGUAGUGGGGGAUAGCUCGGGGAAACUCGAAUUAAUACCGCAUACGUCCUACGGGAGAAAGCAGGGGAUCUUUGGACCUUGCGCUAUUAGAUGAGCCUAAGUCGGAUUAGCUAGAUGGUGGGGUAAAGGCCUACCAUGGCGACGAUCUGUAGCUGGUCUGAGAGGAUGAUCAGCCACACCGGGACUGAGACACGGCCCGGACUCCUACGGGAGGCAGCAGUGGGGAAUAUUGGACAAUGGGGGGAACCCCGAUCCAGCCAUGCCGCGUGUGUGAAGAAGGCCUUUUGGUUGUAAAGCACUUUAAGCAGUGAAGAAGACUCUUCGGUUAAUACCCGGGGACGAUGACAUUAGCUGCAGAAUAAGCACCGGCUAACUCUGUGCCAGCAGCCGCGGUCAUACAGAGGGUGCAAGCGUUAAUCGGAAUUACUGGGCGUAAAGCGAGCGUAGGUGGCUUGAUAAGUCAGAUGUGAAAUCCCCGGGCUUAACCUGGGAACUGCAUCUGAAACUGUUAGGCUAGAGUAGGUGAGAGGGAAGUAGAAUUUCAGGUGUAGCGGUGAAAUGCGUAGAGAUCUGAAGGAAUACCGAUGGCGAAGGCAGCUUCCUGGCAUCAUACUGACACUGAGGCUCGAAAGCGUGGGUAGCAAACAGGAUUAGAUACCCUGAUAGUCCACGCCGUAAACGAUGUCUACUAGUCGUUGGGUCCCUUGAGGACUUAGUGACGCAGCUAACGCAAUAAGUAGACCGCCUGGGGAGUACGGCCGCAAGGUUAAAACUCAAAU
RNAcentral lists this ribosomal RNA (907 nucleotides) under uncultured Gammaproteobacteria bacterium. RNAcentral describes it as "bacterial SSU rRNA". It matches the Rfam family "Bacterial small subunit ribosomal RNA", at positions 8 to 906 of the family's 1533-position model. The record is from RNAcentral. Lineage: Bacteria; Pseudomonadati; Pseudomonadota; Gammaproteobacteria.